Cyprinus carpio (common carp) is the source of this 1472-nucleotide RNA transcript. RefSeq lists it as uncharacterized. The record is from RefSeq and is a predicted model, not a curated record. NCBI's taxonomy places the organism in Eukaryota, Metazoa, Chordata, Actinopteri, Cypriniformes, Cyprinidae. The transcript has 4 exons.
UUACGGUCACGAGCAAUGGCUGGAGGGCGUGGCUAUCGGUGUCCGUCUCCCUCGCCUCUCCAGAAACCUAUCAUCGAUCAGAAGAUUGCACCAAUAUGGUGGUAAGGUGCAUUUUAGGAUGCGCUCCUCCUCAAGUCCUCUUCUCUAUCCCCAAACAUCCCAGUCUGCGUGCCCGCUGGCUCCAAUUCUUGCACUUCGAAGAAGGAGGAAUAACGGCAAAUUCGCGUCUGUGUGCGAGGCAUUUUACGGAAGAAUGUUUCAAGAAUUUGAGACGAUAUGAAAUGGGUUUAGUCCGAAUCCUAUAUUUGACAGAAACGGCUGUCCCGUCUGUGUACACAGUUGGAACGUCAACAAAUGUGAAGCCACUUACACGAGAUGUUGGAAUCCAGUGCCCCGCCAAAACUGUGACCAGCAUUGGCGCGCAAGCGGCAUUCUCUACUCCAAAGCCGAAACGACGGAGUAAAGCGGUCCAGGUAAAACCUUUGUGCCCCUCUAUGACCUGCUCAACUGUGGAUCUUGGCGACAACUUCCAUCCUCUUUUUAAAAUGUCUACACCGAUCAAAAGGCCACGGAUGGGAAAUAGCGCAGAUGAGAUCAACGACACAUCGUCGGGUACCAUAAAGGAGUCAACAGCGUUGGAUUCCACAUACAAGCCUGAUAUCACUCAGGAGGACAGUCAGAAGUACAGCUGCGUUCACACUGCGGCCAGGGGCUGGCUAUGAGUUUGCUUGCCAGUGGGCGUUCUCACUACUGGUUGCCUUGACAGCGAAUCAGACUGUGGACACCCUGCUGAGAAUGCUGUUUGAAGACGUGAUUCCCAACCCUGGCCGAUACCAGGAACACAUGAGUGGAGUGGAGGUCCCUGAUGAUGUGUGUGCUGCCUUCGAAAGGCCCGACUUGCAGUAAGCUGCAGCAAGAUGUUGGUCCCGCUUUUCACAGCAUCCUUUGGUUGUUUCAAGUGAACAUUAAUGUGUCAGACAGAAUGUGAGAGUCUGUGAAAGAGGGAAAAUGUGUGUGUUUUGAUUGUACAAUGUGUGGGGGAAAAGCAUGCAGUUUUGUGUAAAUAGUUAAUAGCAAACAAGGCAAUAACUCAGAACUACACAGUUCUGAAACAAUAAAAUUAAAUGACAUUGAAAUAGUACAAAUCAAGUCUUGGCAUCAUUUAUUAAUAAAGAUUGAAACACUAUAUUACUAAGCAUGUAACCGAGGCAAUUGGAAUCCUUGGUAUUGUUUAGAAGGAAAUGUAUUUCUGAUUUUUUUUCUAUGAUACAUGAUGGGAUAACAACAUGGACACUUUUACCCAGGUAGCCCCAGCACCACCUCACAAAUGUCCUAAACUGUAGCAAAAAUGUCCAAAAUUGUAGGAAACUUAUCAACCAGGGCCCGGUUCCCCAAAACGUUCUUAUCGCUAAGUAGUUCUUAACCUAUUUCUUAACCUCUCUCUUAAUGUUAUGGCACGAUUCCCGACACGU